RNAcentral lists this ribosomal RNA (382 nucleotides) under uncultured bacterium. RNAcentral's name for it is "bacterial SSU rRNA". It matches the Rfam family "Bacterial small subunit ribosomal RNA", at positions 28 to 412 of the family's 1533-position model. The record is from RNAcentral.
GACGAACGCUGGCGGCGUGCUUAACACAUGCAAGUCGAGCGGUAAGGCCCUUUCGGGGGUACACGAGCGGCGAACGGGUGAGUAACACGUGGGUGACCUGCCCUCAGCUCUGGGAUAAGCCUGGGAAACCGGGUCUAAUACCGGAUAUGACUCCAUGACGCAUGUUGUGGGGUGGAAAGCCUUGUGCGGCUGAGGAUGGGCCCGCGGCCUAUCAGCUUGUUGGUGGGGUGAUGGCCUACCAAGGCGACGACGGGUAGCCGGCCUGAGAGGGCGACCGGCCACACUGGGACUGAGGCACGGCCCAGACUCCUACGGGAGGCAGCAGUGGGGAAUUUUGGACAAUGGGGCAACCCUGAUCCAGCCAUGUCGCGUGAGUGAAGAA